AAGGUUUGGAGCAGUGGGCAGGCUGUGCGCCCAUGCCCCACACUCCUGGGCUGCUGAAUGGGGGUGGGGGGUGCUGCUCUGCCAACAGCCUGCCCUUCCCCUCAAGGUUUGGAGCAGUGGGCAGGCUGUUCACUGAGAGAGGGGAGGAAGAGGACGGAGAGGAGGGGGACCAAGAAGCUGGGUGAAGGGAGAUGAGGUACCAUAGGUUGCCGUGAGUGGAGAGUCAUGGUAGAGGGCAAAGGAGAGGGAGCAGUGAAGGGGAGAAAUUGUAGACAUCACCUGAGGAGUUUGGGUGAAAGGAAUGGAGAGGAGGAGGCUGGAAAAGGGGACUGUUCUGCUUGGGGG
Molecule: long non-coding RNA, 345 nt
Filed under: Podarcis lilfordi (Lilford's wall lizard)
Lineage: Eukaryota; Metazoa; Chordata; Lepidosauria; Squamata; Lacertidae
Source: RNAcentral